Molecule: ribosomal RNA, 428 nt
Filed under: uncultured bacterium
Lineage: Bacteria
Description: partial 16S ribosomal RNA
Rfam family: Bacterial small subunit ribosomal RNA
Source: RNAcentral
UAGGGAAUCUUCCGCAAUGGUCGAAAGUCUGACGGAGCAACGCCGCGUGAGUGAUGAAGGUUUUCGGAUCGUAAAGCUCUGUUGUUAGGGAAGAACAAGUGCCGUUCAAAUAGGGCGGCACCUUGACGGUACCUAACCAGAAAGCCACGGCUAACUACGUGCCAGCAGCCGCGGUAAUACGUAGGUGGCAAGCGUUGUCCGGAAUUAUUGGGCGUAAAGGGCUCGCAGGCGGUUUCUUAAGUCUGAUGUGAAAGCCCCCGGCUCAACCGGGGAGGGUCAUUGGAAACUGGGGAACUUGAGUGCAGAAGAGGAGAGUGGAAUUCCACGUGUAGCGGUGAAAUGCGUAGAGAUGUGGAGGAACACCAGUGGCGAAGGCGACUCUCUGGUCUGUAACUGACGCUGAGGAGCGAAAGCGUGGGGAGCGAACA